This 443-nucleotide ribosomal RNA is filed under the name uncultured bacterium. RNAcentral describes it as "bacterial SSU rRNA". It matches the Rfam family "Bacterial small subunit ribosomal RNA", at positions 62 to 543 of the family's 1533-position model. The record is from RNAcentral.
UCGAGCGCCUGGUUUCGGCCAGGAGCGGCGGACGGGUGAGUAACACGUAGGUCAUCUACCUUUGGGUGGGGGAUAACUCGGGGAAACCCGUGCUAAUACCGCACAAGGCCGUAAGGUCAAAGCCCGCAAGGGCGCCCGGAGAUGAGCCUGCGUCGCAUUACCUAGUUGGUAGGGUAAUGGCCUACCAAGGGGACGAUGCGUAGCUGGUCUGAGAGGAUGAUCAGCCACACUGGGACUGAGACACGGCCCAGACUCCUACGGGAGGCAGCAGUGGGGAAUAUUGCGCAAUGGGCGAAAGCCUGACGCAGCCACGCCGCGUGAGUGAUGAAGGCCUUCGGGUUGUAAAGCUCUGUCUGAGGGGACGAAUACUGACGGUACCCUCAAAGAAAGCACCGGCUAACUCCGUGCCAGCAGCCGCGGUAAUACGGAGGGUGCGAGCGUUG